UUGUCGUCAGCUCGUGUCGUGAGAUGUUGGUUAAGUCCCGCAACGAGCGCAACCCCUAUUGUUAGUUGCCAUCAUUCAGUUGGGCACUCUAGCGAGACUGCCGGUAAUAAAACCGGAGGAAGGUGGGGAUGACGUCAAAUCAUCAUGCCCCUUAUGACCUGGGCUACACACGUGCUACAAUGGUUGGUACAACGAGUUGCGAGUCGGUGACGGCGAGCUAAUCUCUUAAAGCCAAUCUCAGUUCGGAUUGUAGGCUGCAACUCGCCUACAUGAAGUCGGAAUCGCUAGUAAUCGCGGAUCAGCACGCCGCGGUGAAUACGUUCCCGGGCCUU
Molecule: ribosomal RNA, 332 nt
Filed under: uncultured Streptococcus sp.
Lineage: Bacteria; Bacillati; Bacillota; Bacilli; Lactobacillales; Streptococcaceae
Description: bacterial SSU rRNA
Rfam family: Bacterial small subunit ribosomal RNA
Source: RNAcentral